GCUAGCGAAAUGUUCAAUUGCUUUCUGAUAGGCAUACCAGUUUGCCGAGUCUAAUUUGGAUAUUACAACUGUUACCACGCUCGAAAUAUGGUCACUGUCAAUCGGCUCGUCGGAUGUCAUCCAUUAGGAGAUAUUAAGAUUUAUGUGGGUUAGGGUAUGUCGGGUUGAGAGGUAGGCACCAUGCGUUAAAGUCACCUUGAAGUAAUAAAAUCUGUUAAGUGAAGUUACUGGUUUUGGUAUGGAAGUUGCAUAUGCUGCGGAAGGUGAUAUGCUUGUUUUCCUAUACUGAUAUAUUGAAGUCAACCAGUAGUGGGCUGAACUUCUUGUCCAUGCCGUGAAGCCAGAAAACUCCUACAUUACAAAUGGAUCACUUCGCCAAGAGGCACUUUGAAGGAAGAGGAACAUUUUAAAUGUCAAUUUCAAACACCUACAAUGGCUGGUGGCUUAUUUGCUGUAAAUCGACAGUGUUUCAAAUAUAUUGGUGCUAACGAUGACGGAAUCGAUAUUUGCAGUGGUAAAAAUAUUGAAAUAUCCUUUCGUGUGUGCCAAUGUUAUGGCACUAUUCGUGUUUGCGUGUAGGACACAUUUUCUGCAAAAGGUGACCCCAUUCAGCGCCCGAUGGUAAGGAUACCACGAAGCGCAAAUCAUUACAUCCAAUACCCAAAUAGGUAAGAGUUUGAAAUAAACUAAUUUAAAUUUAAACAAAUCCACUUUUAAUUUGUAAAUAAGCAAACAAUU
Molecule: long non-coding RNA, 738 nt
Organism: Anastrepha obliqua
Lineage: Eukaryota; Metazoa; Arthropoda; Insecta; Diptera; Tephritidae
Exons: 3
Source: RefSeq, a predicted model, not a curated record